Non-coding RNA from Oryza glumipatula, 201 nucleotides. The record is from Rfam. Lineage: Eukaryota; Viridiplantae; Streptophyta; Magnoliopsida; Poales; Poaceae.
UUUAAGCGCAAACAUAAAUUUUUAUGUCCAAUUUUGAUCGUUCGUUUUAUUUGAAAUGUUUUUAUAAUUAGUAUUUUUGUUGUUAUUAGAUGAUAAAACAUGAAUAGUACUUUAUGCAUGACUUUUUUUAAUUGUUUUUUUUAAAAAAUGAAUUAGAUGGAUGAUUAAAGUUGAACACGGAGAGUCAUGGUUGCGCUUAAA